Molecule: signal recognition particle RNA, 264 nt
Filed under: Oscillospiraceae bacterium
Lineage: Bacteria; Bacillati; Bacillota; Clostridia; Eubacteriales; Oscillospiraceae
Description: signal recognition particle sRNA large type
Rfam family: Bacterial large signal recognition particle RNA
About the family: The signal recognition particle (SRP) is a universally conserved ribonucleoprotein involved in the co-translational targeting of proteins to membranes. Archaeal SRP consists of a 7S RNA and homologues of the eukaryotic SRP19 and SRP54 proteins.
Source: RNAcentral
CCGCACUAAUCGGGGAGUUAGCGGUGCCCUGAAUCUGCAAUCCGCUAUAGCAGGGAUGAUGCCCACCCCCGGUUUUAUGAUGUGUCGUCAGCCGCAAGCUGAAGGUGAUGAAGAACCGGUCUUGCGCAACGCGAAACUGUGAACCAUGUCAGGCGGGGAACCGAGCAGCAUUAAGCAGAAAUUCGCGUGUGCCGCGAGGCUGCCGGUUUGGAGCCGGAAGCUUUCGUAACGGGCGUAUCAUAAUUAUCAAAGGUGGGUGUGCGG